AGGAUUAAAACAUGGUAUCUGCACUCAGCCGUUUACUCCGGCUGGGGUGUUCAAAGGUCAGUGCCAUAGAAAUUCAGUAUCUGGCAUCGUUGGUUUUCUCGGCUUUGUGCUUGUUAAACCUGGUAUUCCUGUUGAUACAAUA
This is a small nucleolar RNA of Cebus imitator (Panamanian white-faced capuchin), 142 nucleotides long. Lineage: Eukaryota; Metazoa; Chordata; Mammalia; Primates; Cebidae. The record is from Ensembl.